Molecule: long non-coding RNA, 560 nt
Filed under: Chrysemys picta bellii (western painted turtle)
Lineage: Eukaryota; Metazoa; Chordata; Testudines; Emydidae
Description: lncRNA (ENSCPBG00000022247.1)
Source: RNAcentral
UUUGUAUUCAAAGUGUGUGAUCCAUUCCCCACAGGCACACACUCAAAUCCCAUUUUAAUCCCUUGGUUUUAUUAACACUGGAGCCCCGCAUCUGGCACUGAGGGAUGGAGAACCUUACGGAUUGGGGUCCAGUUUAAUUCUCUGAAAAAGAUCCGCCCCUGUGACGCUUCCCACCUCAGCUACCAGAGGCAUGGAGCUACGGGAACAGCUCUCCAGCUGCUUGUUCUGUGCCAUACUCCUAGCAACAAUUCCCUUUUCAGAAACCUCUGAGGAGAAAACUGAAAGCCUUGAGAAGAGCACUGAAAAAAUGGUUGAGGCUCACUUAGUCCUACAAAACAAGAUUCUCAUAGGCACGGUUGUUGUCCUCAUUGUUGUCAUCGUUAUCAUCGUUAUCAUCUUAAGUUGUCGUUGUUCAAGAAAAAGAAGGCGAGAUCCUGAAGAAGGUAACAAAAUUUUGCCAAGUAAUACACACAAACACACACACACAAACACAAAAGAUAAGCAGAAAAAAUACUAUUUGUGGUGAGUAUUAAUUUCCCAGACAAAUAUGUAACCAGUGA